AUACGUAGGUGGCAAGCGUUGUCCGGAAUUAUUGGGCGUAAAGCGCGCGCAGGUGGUUCCUUAAGUCUGAUGUGAAAGCCCCCGGCUCAACCGGGGAGGGUCAUUGGAAACUGGGGAACUUGAGUGCAGAAGAGGAUAGUGGAAUUCCAAGUGUAGCGGUGAAAUGCGUAGAGAUUUGGAGGAACACCAGUGGCGAAGGCGACUGUCUGGUCUGUAACUGACACUGAGGCGCGAAAGCGUGGGGAGCAAACAGGAUUGGAUACCCUGGUAGUCCACGCCGUAAACGAUGGGUGCUAAGUGUUGGGGGGUUUCCGCCCCUCAGUGCUGCAGCUAACGCAUUAAGCACUCCGCCUGGGGAGUACGGUCGCAAGACUGAAACUCAAAUGAAUUGACGGGG
Molecule: ribosomal RNA, 397 nt
Filed under: uncultured bacterium
Lineage: Bacteria
Description: partial 16S ribosomal RNA
Rfam family: Bacterial small subunit ribosomal RNA
Source: RNAcentral